RNAcentral lists this ribosomal RNA (497 nucleotides) under Enterococcus casseliflavus. Its description in RNAcentral is "bacterial SSU rRNA". It matches the Rfam family "Bacterial small subunit ribosomal RNA", at positions 19 to 491 of the family's 1533-position model. Lineage: Bacteria; Bacillati; Bacillota; Bacilli; Lactobacillales; Enterococcaceae. The record is from RNAcentral.
CUGGCUCAGGACGAACGCUGGCGGCGUGCCUAAUACAUGCAAGUCGAACGCUUUUUCUUUCACCGGAGCUUGCUCCACCGAAAGAAAAAGAGUGGCGAACGGGUGAGUAACACGUGGGUAACCUGCCCAUCAGAAGGGGAUAACACUUGGAAACAGGUGCUAAUACCGUAUAACACUAUUUUCCGCAUGGAAGAAAGUUGAAAGGCGCUUUUGCGUCACUGAUGGAUGGACCCGCGGUGCAUUAGCUAGUUGGUGAGGUAACGGCUCACCAAGGCAACGAUGCAUAGCCGACCUGAGAGGGUGAUCGGCCACACUGGGACUGAGACACGGCCCAGACUCCUACGGGAGGCAGCAGUAGGGAAUCUUCGGCAAUGGACGAAAGUCUGACCGAGCAACGCCGCGUGAGUGAAGAAGGUUUUCGGAUCGUAAAACUCUGUUGUUAGAGAAGAACAAGGAUGAGAGUAAAACGUUCAUCCCUGACGGUUCUACCAGAGAGC